RNAcentral lists this ribosomal RNA (321 nucleotides) under Mesalina guttulata. RNAcentral's name for it is "partial 16S ribosomal RNA". It matches the Rfam family "Bacterial large subunit ribosomal RNA", at positions 2016 to 2547 of the family's 2925-position model. The record is from RNAcentral. Lineage: Eukaryota; Metazoa; Chordata; Lepidosauria; Squamata; Lacertidae.
CUGUCUCUUGUAGUUGACCAAUGAAACUGAUCUUGUAGUCCAAAAGCUACAAUAAAAACACCAGACGAGAAGACCCUGUGGAGCUUCAAACCAAAACCAAAUUAUGGCCCCCUUGGUUUUUAGUUGGGGCAACUUCGGAGUAUACACCAACCUCCGACAAAAAGCUAAGACAAACAAGUCUAAACAAUUUACUCGACCCAAUAGUUUACAAUAAACUACUUGACCAAUGAACCAAGUUACCCCAGGGAUAACAGCGCUAUCCCCUUUUAGAGUCCCUAUCGACAAGGGGGCUUACGACCUCGAUGUUGGAUCAGGACACCA